ACUCCUGCGGGAGGCAGCAGUGGGGAAUUUUGGACAAUGGGCGAAAGCCUGAUCCAGCAAUGCCGCGUGAGUGAAGAAGGCCUUCGGGUUGUAAAGCUCUUUUGUCAGGGAAGAAACGGUGAAAGCUAAUAUCUUUUGCUAAUGACGGUACCUGAAGAAUAAGCACCGGCUAACUACGUGCCAGCAGCCGCGGUAAUACGUAGGGUGCAAGCGUUAAUCGGAAUUACUGGGCGUAAAGCGUGCGCAGGCGGUUUUGUAAGUCUGAUGUGAAAUCCCCGGGCUCAACCUGGGAAUUGCAUUGGAGACUGCAAGGCUAGAAUCUGGCAGAGGGGGGUAGAAUUCCACGUGUAGCAGUGAAAUGCGUAGAUAUGUGGAGGAACACCGAUGGCGAAGGCAGCCCCCUGGGUCAAGAUUGACGCUCAUGCACGAAAGCGUGGGGAGCAAACAGGAUUAGAAACCCGAGUAGUCC
RNAcentral lists this ribosomal RNA (469 nucleotides) under uncultured organism. RNAcentral's name for it is "partial 16S ribosomal RNA". It matches the Rfam family "Bacterial small subunit ribosomal RNA", at positions 335 to 796 of the family's 1533-position model. The record is from RNAcentral.